This is a long non-coding RNA of Papaver somniferum (opium poppy), 818 nucleotides long. RefSeq lists it as uncharacterized. The transcript has 2 exons. The record is from RefSeq and is a predicted model, not a curated record. NCBI's taxonomy places the organism in Eukaryota, Viridiplantae, Streptophyta, Magnoliopsida, Ranunculales, Papaveraceae.
ACUAGCAAGAGGACAUCAUAAUUACUAGCACUCAUACCAGCAUUUUGAAUAGUUUAGAGAAGCUAUUUGGUGCUAGUCAGCAGAAAGAAGUUGGAGGAGAUAUUCAGCAUCAAAUCGCUAUCAGUGAAAUGGUAUGUGAUGAAUCUAGAGUUCCAGAGAAGUAAUAUGGCAGAAAAAAAGAAGGGAGAUUGCGUGAGGGGUUGAGUUGUGAAGGGGUGCAUCAAAGUACUACAUUUUAAGGUGAGAAUGGAAUCAUCAACACAACCAGAGUGCUAGGCUGGUGGUCUACUUGUUAACCUAUGCUCUAUAGGUGGUGGUAUCGAUUCCUACUAUCCACCAAGUUUUUUCUCAGAAAUGCGGUGCAUGUGAGAGGGGCUGGUGGGGACCACUUCUGCCCGCACCUACCCGAUGCUAAGCACGCGCAUCAGGACCGUCCAUGCCCUCGUUGUGCAUUUCACGGUGUAAAACCGUUGUGUGUAUCACAGCUGGUUUUUUCUUCCAUAUUUCUGUUCUUUUAAUCUUUUACUGAACUAGAUGGGCAGGUGUCACCAUGUCAACUUCAUAACUACAGUAUCUCUAUCUUUACCCAACGUUUGGCCAGGUGACAGACUCAUAUUCUUUCUUUUACUAAAAAUCUGUAGCUCACGUGAAACUUGUAGUCAAAAGGCAGUCAAAUGUCAGUAGGGUAUGAUGAUAAAAUUAAAUAUUUAUUUGUGGUGAUUGAUACUCCGUGGAGGGUAAUAUGGUCAUUUUUGUAAUCUUCAAAAUAUUUAUUGCACUUAUUCUUAUAAGGAUGAUCUGGUCAUUUUUAUUUAACA